UCCGAUAUGGUGUAAUGGCUAGCACAGUUCGCUCUCACCGAGCAGAUCGGGGUUCGAUUCCCCGUAUCGGAGC
RNAcentral lists this transfer RNA (73 nucleotides) under Candidozyma haemuli. RNAcentral describes it as "[Candida] haemuloni tRNA-Glu". It matches the Rfam family "tRNA". From Rfam's summary of the family: Transfer RNA (tRNA) molecules are approximately 80 nucleotides in length. The record is from RNAcentral. Lineage: Eukaryota; Fungi; Ascomycota; Pichiomycetes; Serinales; Metschnikowiaceae. RNAcentral also lists the same sequence under 1 other name.